RNAcentral lists this unclassified non-coding RNA (776 nucleotides) under uncultured bacterium. RNAcentral's name for it is "partial contains 16S ribosomal RNA, 16S-23S ribosomal RNA intergenic spacer, and 23S ribosomal RNA". The stretch from base 663 to 776 matches the Rfam family "Bacterial large subunit ribosomal RNA", at positions 1 to 113 of the family's 2925-position model. The record is from RNAcentral.
GAAGAACCCUAACGUUCCCGGGCAAUGCCCGACGGAUGUUCCGGUUCUCUUGGAACAAAUGGAUGUCGCUUCGGCGAACAUCCGGUCGACAGAGCGGUGCAUGGCCGCCUUCGUUUCUCUUUCUUCGACAUGAAACUCGCACGCUUGAACCGGGCCUGUAGCUCAGGUGGUUAGAGCGCACGCCUGAUAAGCGUGAGGUCGGUAGUUCAACUCUACCCAGGCCCACCACUUCUGCCCCGCAUGGGGGCUCCAAGUGGAGCGGUGCGGUUCUGGCUGGCGCCAGCGUCGGGCUGCCCGUUCAGCCGUCUGUGCGCCGGAGUUUGGGGCCAUAGCUCAGCUGGGAGAGCGCCUGCUUUGCACGCAGGAGGUCGUCGGUUCGAUCCCGUCUGGCUCCACCAUUCGGUUGGCCGCGCUACGACCUGUCCAUGUCGAACACACGUUCCCGCCCCAUACCAGGGGUGGUUCCAUCUGCACAUCGUUAAGAGGGGACACGCCUAGUCCCGCUGCACAGGUCUUCUUGGUGCAGUGGGAUGGCUCUAGCCGGCAACCGACCGCGUUGCUCGGGUGCGUCUCAAAACUUCUGGUCAAAAUAUCUCUUGGCAGGCUCGCCUUGUGGUGAUCGCGAGAUCCCCGCUGGGUGCAUGGGCAUUGCUAAUGAGAAUGAUCAAGUGACUUAAGGGCAUCUGGUGAAUGCCUUGGCGCUGAGAGGCGAUGAAGGACGUGGUACGCUGCGAUAAGCCACGGGGAGCCGCGAACAGGCUUUGAUCCGUGGAUUU